Long non-coding RNA from Monomorium pharaonis (pharaoh ant), 5868 nucleotides. RefSeq lists it as uncharacterized. The record is from RefSeq and is a predicted model, not a curated record. The transcript is spliced from 2 exons. Lineage: Eukaryota; Metazoa; Arthropoda; Insecta; Hymenoptera; Formicidae.
GAAAGAAAAUUUAAUGAUAGUAUUUCGAAUAUUUUUCAUAUAUUCAUCGGAUAAGUCCAGCCGGUUAUGCCCGAACACGAGCGAAGAUAAAGCUGCAUUAGGUAUAACGCGCACUCCUCUCUCUUUCUCUCUCCCCCCCCCCCCCUCCCUCACUCUUUCUAUAUCACAGGGUCAGGAGGCAAAUAUUUGUUACGAUCGUGAAAGCGUGCGUGUGGUGUUCGGAUUUCUGUUUAUCUUCCGAGUGUCCUCGUAUAAUGCGAGAUAUUGGCUUUCGACUACCGCGCUUAUUUUCAUAGCCACACGCUUCGCCGUAAUGAGUAAUGUGGAGCGUAAUCUAAACCUUGGCCAGAGAUAAGGGAAUGCAGGAAAUCUGUGUGACUGAUCCAGUGUGUGUUAAUUCUUUUGUCGCAUGGUUACUCACGUGAUAAAAUUGUAACAAUGAAUAAUAAUGAUUUAUCAUCGACCGUUAGGGUUCGAGUUUAAUUAUUUAUAGUUCGCUGUUAAUGGAAUAUUAUUCAUGAGGAGAGAAGCUUCUCUCUCAAUACUUUACUUCUUGUAUGCAACAUGCUGAAUCGAAUUGCGAGUAUGAUUUUAUUCUCCAGCUUACUGCACAUUUUCAUGUAAAAACAUAUAAGAACAUAAGUAUAUCUAACUUAAUCCUUUACGGUCCACAGAUUUUUACGCAUUUACUGACUGAGAAAAAUGAUUUCAUUACAUCAACAAGAUGUACAUGAUUAACAUUAAUUAACCACUUUCCGAUCCAGGACUGCUUAACACGUUUUGGUUUUCUAAUUUUUAUUUCUCGCAUAUUUUGGCGCUUUCUAUAAACCUAGAAUAGAUAUAUGUGCAACUAGUGCGGUGAAUCGGCUAAUUGCUCGUAAGAGCGGAAUAUGUCCACCGCACAGACGGACAAUAACCGAUCCGCAUAUGUCACAUACAAUAUUUUUUGUUACCUGUGUGUCGAAAUAUGUUCUUUUAUGUGAAGUGACACAUGAGAAAAGAACCAUUUUUGAUGCACUGGUAGCGAAAAAAAACUUGUAGUUCUUCUAAGGCUGCGUUCCAAUAUACACUGUUACUUGCAAAAAUAUUUGCAAUUUUUUUCAAGACCACUUUUCUACCUUUCCUAAUUUUCUUGUAAUAAAAUGUCAGUGUAAAUACAAAUCUUUUUUUUACUAAUACUAUAAACAUCUUAUUUAGGCUUCGGCAUAUCGUAUAUAUUACACAAAAAUAAAAAUAUUAGUUAGAAUGAAAAUGACAAGGCAACAAAGUCAAGCCAUUGCACAGAUAAAAGUCUGAAUUAAAGACAUGAAAAUAAAGUGGCGAGCUAGGGUUAAGUUUUGAUGAAACGUAUUAUAAUUAUUAAAGUGAAGAAUGUAUUAAUUUCGCUUAUGUUUUAAUUAAUUUUUUUAUACGGAAAGAAGAAAAGUUUUCUAAAGUAUCUAAAAAUGUAAUUAUAGUUACAAGUUUAAAAAUCAUUUUGUUAGGCCAAAAUAAAUAUGUUGAAUUUUCAAAUUGGUUGCUGGAAUGUUAAAACUUUUUGCAGUUUAGAUACUUCAUCAAAAUUGAUUUUUUUUCCAUGUAGAGUUAUUAAUAUGAAUACAACUAUCUUUACACCCCAGACAGCACAUACGUUUAAAAAGAAAAUUUAAAACUUAGACGUCCUGUCAAGGUCCUAACGUGUCUAAAGAAUAUAGUGCAUGUCUAAAAGACGUUUUUUAGACAAGGCAUGUUAAGACCUGGGCAGACUCAAGUACGCGGUUCCGUCCCAUCAUUUAAUUUUACAAAUAUUAACCCGGGUAGGUGUUACAUAGACAUUACAGCAAAAUUAAAUAAAAAAUAGAUAAUACUCACAAAGAUAGUUGCGCUCAUUAAUAUUUCGCACUUACUUUUCACAUGCGCCUGCAUUUCAUAUAGAACAUAUUACGUACACUCUAUAUAAAACGCACAGGAAAGAAGCGUGAAUGACCGCUUCUGUAUCUGAAAUACCCGGGUUGUCGAAUAUUAACAGUCAUUUAUACUUUUAAUUGAAAGUAAGUAAAAUAGUGGUUUCCAGCUAUAAGAGUAAAAAAACCCCGUACUUUGUGCAAUUCGAAGAAAAAAUUGGUCAAAAUGAGAAAUUUUUAAGAAAUUUUAUUUUCUAUGUAACUUUUAUAAGUGCGUAACCAUGCAAAUAAUGAUAUGUAUUUCGGUGUCUAUUUACCUGUGAUUUUGUUUACGAGAAACAUACAACAGGAUUUCAGAGAUGAUAUGGGAAAGAAAGAAAGAAACGGAACCUGAAGGAACAUUAUAAUGCUGAGAGAAAAAGAGAACAAAAAGCGAGCACAAGUGGCGCCCACAUGGCGCGCAGUUGCUUCAGAAGAUCAGGUUUUUGUUCAUUUAAAAUGUCAGAAUUUAAGGAGUUCGAGCCCAACUGAGGUACGAUACAAUUCGGUGUACAAUACGAUAUAAUCUUUCCUUUUUAGACAACCUUUACUUCGGACAAAUUAUCAAACUUUAUGCCCACCGUAUAUAGGUGACCGGAACCGAGCGAGGCUAAAGGUCGAAAGAUACUGUGAAACUCGAGCUGUUCUCUUGAGAAAACGCGGGGGAGCGAUAAAAGUCUCUACGAGGUAUCGUAAUCAUUGACCGAAGGAAGACAAAUGAAUUUUCUUAGCGAGUGAAGAAAUAAAAAAAUAUGAAGCAAUGAAAAACAAUACUCUGAAUAUCUGUGGCCGCGUCUGUGAUAAUAUAAAUUUCUUCUUUGUAUAUGUAUAUAUCUAUAUACAUAUAAUAUAUAUAUCUAUAAUCUUAAAUAGUCUUGACUCCUAAUACACAUGUACACAUAGCCAUUACCAACAACACCAUUUUCUUUCUAAUUGCAGUUCUUUGGCUAUCUAAUGACUUUAUCAUAAAGAUAAUAAAUAUAUAGCAAGCAAUGAGGAGUAAGGAGUAAUAGAAAAGGACAAGUAGAAAUGUUCGACUGGUUUAUCUCUCUCUUUUCGAGCAAAACUUAAACAUAUUAUACGUGCACAAGUAGCUCCAGAAUUGAGGCAGGAUAAUACAUGACAUAAGAUAAAUUAACUAAAAAAACUCUAAAAUAAAAAGUAAUAUAUUUUAACAUAUUUAUAUAUUUUUAAGUAUAAUUUUAUUUAAAAAAGUAAAAUUCUAAAUAACUCUAUUUUAAGUAACUUUUUAAUAACGGGUUUACGCCGAGAUAUCACGGAUGACUGAGCGGCAGUCCCUGCUACGUGCUUUAGAUACGUUUAUGCGGGUUUCCAAUGUUUUUAAUGUAAAUCCAGUUAGCCUAUCUAUCCCUAUAUAUAUAUAUAAUUCACUAGCCCCAAUUUCCCUUACUAUAUACCUAAAUGUGAUACACGGGUCUUGUGACUACCGGUAAACAUUUACUAUUUCAAAUAAAAACACAUAAGAAACAUAACUACCUAUUUUAUAUUUCUAAAAAUCUAUUGAAUAAUAUGUGAGAAAUUAUUUAAGAAGAGACUUGAGUGAAAACUGCACAACAAAUGUUUUGUUCAGUGAAUUAUUAUUUUUCUCUUUACCAUGAUGAUGAUAACUAAUAAGUAUAAACACGUGUUAGAGAGGUAGUCUUCUUUAACAAUUUUUUCGGAAAUUAUAACUAAACGUUUCUUUCGGUUUUUUUUUGUGGCAUUUGUCUGUGUUUUUUCUUUUAAAAGAAAUCUUUAUUAUUCUUUUUUAUUUUCAUCUUUAUUGCCCUACGUCAAUGGUUUUAAUAUUUGAAUAUGUUUUCAAAAAGUAAUUAUUAGAGCUCUUAAAUAUGAAAAAAUAUUAAAAGUAUUGACGUAGCAGAGCAAUAAAGAUGAGAAUAGAAAAGGACAAUAAAGAUUUGUUAAAAAAAAAAAACCUAAUUCACCAGUGAAUCCAUAUUAUUACAGUUAUUACCACAGUCGUAUUUUUCCGUAUUUUGUGUUGAAAAAAAAAAAAAAAAAAAAAAUUCUGAAAAAUUGUGACCACAAACACAUAUUAGGCAUAAAGUAUCGAUCAACAUAAAGAAAGGAAAAAGUGGAAAGGUAGAAAGGCAAAGUCCCUCGUAUCAUUAAAUACAAAAGGCAUCAUAUCAUAUCAGAGACAAUACUUAUGCGCGUGUGCGUAAAACAUGAUGCGCGGUGCAAAUGUAUUUAGAGUUUUAAGAGGACUUUAAACCGUGUGCAUUUCAAUCGUCGAAGAACUUUAAACAACAUCGCGGAGCGAUUCAACUCCACGUGAAAACACACGGGGAAGGUUGUUACACCUAUCGCGCUGAUUCACGCGACUCAUUGUCCUGUCUCGCGGGAAAGGAAAACGAAAAGGAAAAAAAAAAUGGACAAGAAGAAAGAGACGGAGCUUCGAAAUCGGAGCAGUGGAAAGGAAAUAUAGGCGGACAAUGACGACGAUGGAGAUCGAGCGAGAAGAAAGAAAGCAGAAGAAAUACGCAGGAACGCGCGUACUAUCGUUCGUAGGUCCGUAUAGCCGUGUAGGAUACGGCGAAGAUAAAGAAACACAGUUGCGAAUCACGCUGCGGUGGCGCCUAAUGGGCGGCAACAAAAAGGGACACAGAGUGGUCACUGCGGCGGGGAAAAGAGGGGAAUUCCCUCCCCUCCAUCGCGCGACACCGUGCGUUGAGAGGUAGGGAGAAAGAGAGAGAGAGAGAGAGAGAGAUGCCCCCCACUUCGUGCCGCACCUACCGCUUCUUCUGGCUUCUCCUCCCAAAACAGCUCGGUGCGCUUCGAGCGCGCUCGGUGAUCUCCGCGUCGCGUCUGGACCGCGACGUGCCGGAGAUCAGGGCAGUGCCGUAGCAUCCGCGGGUACCCCGACGAACACACCGAGGGUAUAACGCACCGUUAAUUGAUACCGGUAUAUCGCAUUGCUGCUGGUACCGCGACGCCGAUAUUGGUUAAUCUGGUGGGAACGAUUGCGACUAACCCCUGUCUGUUGAGAUUAAUAUCAACUGGUACUAGUAGUAACUUGUGUGGGUCCUUUCUUUGCCUCUUGCAAUAAGUGUCAUGAUACAUCGGGGAAAUUUCUGUGAUCGCUUCUUGCCGCGCAGCGUGUUAUCGAUCGCAUCGCGCUUAAAUCGCGCGUCCAGUCGACCGACCAGCCCGUGUUAUUCAUCAAAACGCCCUCGACGAUGACGGGCGUCGUUAACAGAACGGGGAAGAUUAACAUCGUACCAAGAAAUUCAACACCUCGAGAGCAGCGUGAUUAAAGACGAGACGAGUCAAAGACGAGGAAAAGGGAGGACGUGAGGGAAAAGGCGGAGGAGAGAGGAGAGAGUAUAAGGGCGGGAGAAAGAGAGGAGGAGACGCUAUUGGCUCUAAUUGCCAGCACUGGCCGAAUAGAAGGCGAUUUGCUCUCUCUUCGUUCUCGUCUCGACUGCCACACACUCUGUAUCGCGCGAUCGCUGCUUCGACGCCUCUCGUUUAACAUACCGACACAAAAAAAUGUAGACGCAAGAGUAAGUGUCAUACAUUUUCGUUCGGCCGUUGCCUGAGCCGUCCGCGCUUGUCGGCGCAGCGAAUGCGUCUCGUUGAUCUUCCGUAGGCCAUCUUGCUCCGAAGCGAUGGCUUCGCAAUUGUAGGAUCGACGUGUAUGCACGCAGAAAACGAUCGCGCGAGAUUGCGUGCCAGUGCAGUCCAACGUAUAUAGUCGGCCGAAAUAUCUCAAAAAGUGAAAACCGAAAUUCAAGUUUAGAAUAUUAAUGCAGAAUCUAAAGUUUUAUAAAAUAGACAUUUGAUUUACCCGCUAAAAAAUAUUUUAUAUAAAAAUUUAUUUAUUUAUAUACGAAAUGCGUCCACACACGUAUUUAUACUAAUUUCUUUUUUGUAAAAUUUCUGUUUGAUAUAAAAAAAUAAUAGUCAUGUUGAAAAAACACAA